CCUACGGGAGGCAGCAGUGAGGAAUAUUGGUCAAUGGCCUAGAGGCUGAACCAGCCAAGUCGCGUGAGGGAAGACGGCCCUACGGGUUGUAAACCUCUUUUGUCGGGGAGCAAAGCGAGUCACGUGUGACUCAUUGAGAGUACCCGAAGAAAAAGCAUCGGCUAACUCCGUGCCAGCAGCCGCGGUAAUACGGAGGAUGCGAGCGUUAUCCGGAUUUAUUGGGUUUAAAGGGUGCGCAGGCGGAGGUGCAAGUCAGCGGUAAAAUUGCGGGGCUCAACCCCGUACUGCCGUUGAAACUGCAUCCCUUGAGUGCGCGAGAAGUAUGCGGAAUGCGUGGUGGAGCGGUGAAAUGCAUAGAUAUCGCGCAGAACUCCGAUUGCGAAGGCAGCAUGCCGGCUCCACACUGACGCUGAGGCACGAAAGCGUGGGUAUCGAACAGGAUUAGAUACCCCUGUAGUC
This 459-nucleotide ribosomal RNA is filed under the name uncultured bacterium. RNAcentral's name for it is "partial 16S ribosomal RNA". It matches the Rfam family "Bacterial small subunit ribosomal RNA", at positions 338 to 795 of the family's 1533-position model. The record is from RNAcentral.